CCGUUCAUUCAACUCGCCUGCCGCUCCUGUCCUCGGGGUUUUCUUCCUGGAAGAUGUCGUGAGAGAGCUGGAGCGAAGGGGCGCGGAAAAAGAAAGAGGAGGAGACACCCACCUUUAGUUUCAGACGAAGGCCUCGGGCUUGCUACCGUUGUUGAUCUGGACGUAGAUCUUGGGAUCCUCGUCUUGCUCGUCUUUGAGGCGCUGGAGGUAACGGCUGUGGCACAGCAGGUAGAGGGGCAGGCAGAAUCCCAGCAUGCUCACCACCAACAGGCCCACGUUCACCUGAGGGUCAACCGACAUUCACGACAGAGGGUCUCCUUCCAGGGGUCCCACCAUGGCCAUGAAGAGAGGCUGCUGCAGCAGGGCGAACAGAGCGCUGAUCAGAGACUGCAUCCCUGUCAGGCUGCCAAACUGAGAGGACGGGUACCUGCGGGGGACAAACAG
Long non-coding RNA from Seriola aureovittata, 444 nucleotides. RefSeq lists it as uncharacterized. The record is from RefSeq and is a predicted model, not a curated record. Lineage: Eukaryota; Metazoa; Chordata; Actinopteri; Carangiformes; Carangidae. The transcript has 3 exons.